This 1337-nucleotide ribosomal RNA is filed under the name Mycobacterium sp. DWMJ-1229B1. RNAcentral describes it as "bacterial SSU rRNA". It matches the Rfam family "Bacterial small subunit ribosomal RNA", at positions 81 to 1429 of the family's 1533-position model. Lineage: Bacteria; Bacillati; Actinomycetota; Actinomycetes; Mycobacteriales; Mycobacteriaceae. The record is from RNAcentral.
UUCGGGGUACUCGAGUGGCGAACGGGUGAGUAACACGUGGGUGAUCUGCCCUGCACUUUGGGAUAAGCCUGGGAAACUGGGUCUAAUACCGAAUAGGACCACGCGCUUCAUGGUGUGUGGUGGAAAGCUUUUGCGGUGUGGGAUGGGCCCGCGGCCUAUCAGCUUGUUGGUGGGGUAAUGGCCUACCAAGGCGACGACGGGUAGCCGGCCUGAGAGGGUGACCGGCCACACUGGGACUGAGAUACGGCCCAGACUCCUACGGGAGGCAGCAGUGGGGAAUAUUGCACAAUGGGCGCAAGCCUGAUGCAGCGACGCCGCGUGAGGGAUGACGGCCUUUCGGGUUGUAAACCUCUUUCAAUAGGGACGAAGCGCAAGUGACGGUACCUAUAGAAGAAGCACCGGCCAACUACGUGCCAGCAGCCGCGGUAAUACGUAGGGUGCGAGCGUUGUCCGGAAUUACUGGGCGUAAAGAGCUCGUAGGUGGUUUGUCGCGUUGUUCGUGAAAACUCACAGCUUAACUGUGGGCGUGCGGGCGAUACGGGCAGACUAGAGUACUGCAGGGGAGACUGGAAUUCCUGGUGUAGCGGUGGAAUGCGCAGAUAUCAGGAGGAACACCGGUGGCGAAGGCGGGUCUCUGGGCAGUAACUGACGCUGAGGAGCGAAAGCGUGGGGAGCGAACAGGAUUAGAUACCCUGGUAGUCCACGCCGUAAACGGUGGGUACUAGGUGUGGGUUCCUUCCUUGGGAUCCGUGCCGUAGCUAACGCAUUAAGUACCCCGCCUGGGGAGUACGGCCGCAAGGCUAAAACUCAAAGGAAUUGACGGGGGCCCGCACAAGCGGCGGAGCAUGUGGAUUAAUUCGAUGCAACGCGAAGAACCUUACCUGGGUUUGACAUGCACAGGACGCCGGCAGAGAUGUCGGUUCCCUUGUGGCCUGUGUGCAGGUGGUGCAUGGCUGUCGUCAGCUCGUGUCGUGAGAUGUUGGGUUAAGUCCCGCAACGAGCGCAACCCUUGUCCUAUGUUGCCAGCGGGUUAUGCCGGGGACUCGUAGGAGACUGCCGGGGUCAACUCGGAGGAAGGUGGGGAUUGACGUCAAGUCAUCAUGCCCCUUAUGUCCAGGGCUUCACACAUGCUACAAUGGCCGGUACAAAGGGCUGCGAUGCCGUGAGGUGGAGCGAAUCCUUUCAAAGCCGGUCUCAGUUCGGAUCGGGGUCUGCAACUCGACCCCGUGAAGUCGGAGUCGCUAGUAAUCGCAGAUCAGCAACGCUGCGGUGAAUACGUUCCCGGGCCUUGUACACACCGCCCGUCACGUCAUGAAAGUCGGUAACACCCGAAGCCG